AGUGAACGCUGGCGGCGUGCUUAACACAUGCAAGUCGAACGAGAACGGAAUAUAGCUUGCUAUAUUUGUCAGCUAAGUGGCGCACGGGUGAGUAAUGUAUAGAUAACCUGCCCUUAAGAAAGGAAUAACAGUUGGAAACGACUGCUAAUGCCCUAUAUGCCUUUAAUACAUAAGUAUGCAAGGGAAACGCUUUAGUGCUUAAGGAUGGGUCUGUAUGGUAUCAGCUUGUUGGUGAGGUAAUGGCUCACCAAGGCUAUGACGCCUAACUGGUUUGAGAGAAUGAUCAGUAACACUGGAACUGAGACAGGGUCCAGACUCAUACGGGAGGAAGCAGUGGGGAAUAUUGAAAAAUGGACGAAAGUCUGAUACAGCAACGCCGCGUGGAGGAUGACACAUUUGGGUGCGAAAACUCCUUUUAUAUAGGAAGAUAAUGACGGUACUGUAUGAAUAAGCACCGGCUAACUCCGUGCCGGCCGCCGCGGUAA
RNAcentral lists this ribosomal RNA (485 nucleotides) under uncultured bacterium. RNAcentral describes it as "partial 16S ribosomal RNA". It matches the Rfam family "Bacterial small subunit ribosomal RNA", at positions 29 to 523 of the family's 1533-position model. The record is from RNAcentral.